Molecule: small RNA, 148 nt
Filed under: Pongo abelii (Sumatran orangutan)
Lineage: Eukaryota; Metazoa; Chordata; Mammalia; Primates; Hominidae
Description: Metazoan signal recognition particle RNA (ENSPPYG00000040575.1)
Rfam family: Metazoan signal recognition particle RNA
About the family: The signal recognition particle (SRP) is a universally conserved ribonucleoprotein. It is involved in the co-translational targeting of proteins to membranes.
Source: Rfam by way of RNAcentral
GCCGGGUGUGGUGGUGCGCACCUGUAGUCCCAGCUACUCGGGAGGCUGAGGCAGAAGAAUCGCUUGAACCCGGGAGGCAGAGGUUGCAGUGAGCCGAGAUCGCGCCACUGCACUCCAGCCUGGGUGACAGAGUGACACUCUGUCUCAA